Ochlerotatus camptorhynchus is the source of this 2403-nucleotide long non-coding RNA. RefSeq lists it as uncharacterized. Lineage: Eukaryota; Metazoa; Arthropoda; Insecta; Diptera; Culicidae. The record is from RefSeq and is a predicted model, not a curated record. The transcript is spliced from 3 exons.
GUGUGCGUGUAUGCCAGACCAGGAAUUUAUAGCUGAAGACUCCUCGCCGUUUUUCCGUUUACGACGACCCUCGAAACACGACAGCCAGGCGAGAAGAGUGAUUUGACUUCGGAAUUUUUGAUUAGUUAGCGUUGGAUUUCGCCUUGAAAUCCGACCACUGCGGCAAUUCGAGGAUUAAAUUCGUUGCAGGAAAAUCGAGAAAAUCCUCUCAACUCCCAAUAACCAUCAGAAUUCGCCAGCAAACAGAAGGUGAAAGUGCAAAACCAAUUGUGUGUGUUUGUAUAUGUGUCACAGUACACCGUGUAUCGCAAGAUUUAUUAUCAAUAAUUGGAAUAUAAUCGUCCAGAAAGCGGAAAAAUUCCUGGAAAGAGAGAAUAAAGUACCAUCCUGCAGAACGACGACGGGGUGAGUCUCCUGCUCUCACACUCUCCUCGGAAUAAUCCUGAUGGUUCUGGUGAACGGUGAGGCUGCUGCAACUGAAGGCUUUAAGUCCAACUUCAACGUAAAACGUUAUCCAGCAUUGGAAAAGUGCAUCGACACUGAACUGUAAUUGAAGUUCCGCGAAGUGCAACCUCUGGCUCAUUUGCACUUUUUGAAGUAAAUGCAACGACACGGUGGGAAAGUUACACACCAAACUACCAAAUUUGAAGAAACAAAAAAAAAAUACAACCAGAGCAAAUGGAUCAAAAGAGUGCAAAAGUGAAUAUUUCAGGAGAUUUCUGUUUUCACAAGUUCCCGACCGCUGCUACCUACUGAUCUUUUGCUGUCAUCAAGUGGAUUUCGUGACUGUCGACGAUCGUCGAGUCAAUGCUGAUGGUUAGGUUGGCAUCAAAGUGGAGAAUCGAAGCUGCCGCAAGGAAAAGUUCACCGAAGAAUAAUAUUUGUGAAAAUUGAUUGCUUUUGAGCGAAGAAAGUGGCAGACGUAGCAGUGAAAAUAUUGAAUAUAUAUCGAGAAUAAUACAAAAACGGAAAUUGAUCACCAUUAUUGCCCUUCAGGCAUACGGGAAAGGAGCGAUUGGAAAUGCAAGAAAAAUACGAAUAGUUGAUUGAAACGUACCGGACGUUGGCUCUCGGUAGUGAAGGUGAUGGCAGACAGCUGAAUGGGAAAGGAGUUUGGAAAUUCAAGAACCUGAAAAAGUUUAAUAACGACCGGAUAUUGGGUACUGAAUGCUAUCAUUUGCAUCACCAAUUCCGUCUUGGUAGGUAAUAAAUUGUAGCAUCCAAGGACAUUUAACAGCAUUUGUGUCAUUUCACUGAAUGCCAUUUAAUCUUAAAUUAAAACCUGAGAACUCCAUAAUCCCGUUUAUACUUUUCCAAUCAAACGAAGUAUAUCCGUGAGGGUUGACAAUCUCCAUCAACACCUUCAUCCAGGCCAGAGAUUUGAACAAAAUCCGGUGAAAAAUAUCUAAAAAAAAAUUGAUGAACAAAGAAGAAUCACACUAUCAUAGAGCAGGUGGAAAAAGGUGGCCUGUGUAACGAAUGAUAUCGCUCAGUGGGUUGAAUGUUGUGACUGCUGCUGUAUAGAAGAUUUCACCCGACCAUUGUUGGAAGUUGCCCGUAGGCCAGAAAAAAAAUAUAGAAUCCCAGUCCCAGUGAUCGAAAUCAGUGCACGCUCGAUUGAAGCCGAUGGUGGUGAUUUAUUGUGUGUUUAUAUGGAGCCAUAACCAUCAUCCAUCCUAUAGGUUCGUUAUUGUUACGGAUGGCUCCUAGCGCUAUAGUGCAAUAGAUGUCUACUACAUACCGUUGAAUGUUAGUGAGUAUCUGUGCCAGGCUUCAGUGACCUAAAAAAGAAGAAGAAGAAGACGAAGCACGGUGAUUCUCGUCCGCCUGUCAGUAUCUGUGUCUAGCUAUUUGUCUGGAGGCAGAUGAUGUAAUAUUUGUCCAGGACCGGGAGGAAAUCACACGGGACGGAUUUGGCCCAGAACGAUUGCCCAUAACGGACAUCGAUCGUCGUCCAGUUGCUGUCCGAAUGGCAAAAGAUUGCCCCUCGGAGUGAUGUCAUCCAUCCGACGGAAGCUGCUUAUCGAAAUCGAACUAACCGAAUGGCAGUCGUUCGAGCGGAAAUAGGUGUACCCCUGAUGAUAGGCAACCGUGUACUCGAUUGAGACGUUGUUUGGGUUUUCUUCGACAGGGAAUAUGGCGAGACUGGAGAAAACAAAUUACACAAUUGAAGAAAAUAAGUCUGUGUGAAAUGCUAAACAAGAAGUGCGGCGCCAGCACGUUCCAAAACAGUUGUGGUAGUUGUCGAUAAAAUCGGGACAAGCUGGGAUUUUUGGGAGAUCCGUCGGCAAGGGACGAUCAGGUGAAAAGAGACAGGGCGGCAAGCAGGUGAAAGGGGACCGAUGCGCUACCGCUGCUGGUCCGCUUCCUGCCGCCGUUCUAGGUUCAAGGUUAGGUACAAAA